This is a long non-coding RNA of Lolium rigidum, 610 nucleotides long. RefSeq lists it as uncharacterized. Lineage: Eukaryota; Viridiplantae; Streptophyta; Magnoliopsida; Poales; Poaceae. The record is from RefSeq and is a predicted model, not a curated record. The transcript has 3 exons.
AUGAAGCAAAUAGGAUGAUAUUUUUCUGUAGAGACCCCUGAUGUCUUCUUUCAUGUCCCGGACACUCCCAAGGAUAUUCAGGGUUCCCUAUAAAGAAUAUUAUUCGAUCUUAUGCUAAACAUAUGGUCUUUUCAAAGGAUGAGUACCAUCUUGAAUUAUUAGAAGAUAGCAAAGUUCAUGUGAAUUGCUCUUUGAUGCAUCUACAUGGUUCCUGUGAACAUGUUGAUGUCUAGACCCCAGUCCAAUGAUUUAUGAAAUAGCAAAGAAAGUUGCUGACAAGCUUAAGGGCACAACAUUAUCUGGUACUUGUGACAUCCUUACUCUACUCUGUAGAUGUUGCGUGAAUUUUAUGGGAGACAACUUAUUCGGUGGAAUCAGAUGUAAAUUAAAAAUCCAUGCUAGCAUACUCACAAGUGCAUUACAUAAACAAGCUUCUCUUUCUGGCCCAGUUGUGCUCUUCAUAUCUUUCUGCAUUACAGAAGAUUGUGUGAUGUCUAAUGUGCGUGAGAGAAAAGAGAGCAGACUUUCAGUGGGAAGGAAAAGUAUCUGCCCAUGUCUAUUUUCUUUAGCCAGUUAUUGUUUGGAUGAUUUGUUGCUGCUAGAGAGGGGG